UACGUAGGGUGCGAGCGUUGUCCGGAAUUACUGGGCGUAAAGAGCUCGUAGGUGGUUUGUCGCGUUGUUCGUGAAAACUCACAGCUUAACUGUGGGCGUGCGGGCGAUACGGGCAGACUGGAGUACUGCAGGGGGAGACUGGAAUUCCUGGUGUAGCGGUGGAAUGCGCAGAUAUCAGGAGGAACACCGGUGGCGAAGGCGGGGUCUCUGGGCAGUAACUGACGCUGAGGAGCGAAAAGCGUGGGGGAGCGAACAGG
This 257-nucleotide ribosomal RNA is filed under the name uncultured bacterium. RNAcentral describes it as "partial 16S ribosomal RNA". It matches the Rfam family "Bacterial small subunit ribosomal RNA", at positions 524 to 776 of the family's 1533-position model. The record is from RNAcentral.